GAUGAACGCUAGCGAUAGGCUUAACACAUGCAAGUCGAGGGGCAACAUGGGCUUAUCUUGCUAAGACUGAUGGCUACCGGCGCACGGGUGCGUAACGCGUAUGCUACUUGCCUCACAGAGGGGGAUAACCCGUCCAAAGACGGACUACUACCGCGUACACUCUAUGUUGGGCAUCCGAUGUAGAGGAAAUGAACUUCCCUGUGAGAUAGGCAUGCCUCCCAUUAACUAGUUGGUGAGGGAACGCGCUCACCCAGGCGACAAUGGCUAGGGCAACUGAGAGGUUGAACCCCCACACUGGUACUGAGACACGGACCACACUCCUACGGGAGGCAGCAGUGAGGAAUAUUGGCCAAUGGGCAAGAGCCUGAACCAGACAAGUCGCGUGAAAGAUGACUGUCUUAUGGAUUGUAAACUUCUUUUAUACGGAAAUAACAAGAGUCACGUGUGGCUCCCUGCAUGUACCGUAUGAAUAAGCAUCGGCUAACUCCGUGCCACCAGCCGCGGUAAUACGGAAGAUGCGAGCGUUAUCCGGAUUUAUUGUGUUUAAAGGGUGCGUAGGCCGCCUGUUAAGUCAUCAGUGAAAUCUAGGAGCUUAACUCCUAAAUUGCCAUUGAUACUGACGGUGUUGAGUGUAGAUGAGAUAGGCGUAACACGUGGUGUAGCGAUAGAAUGCAUAGAUAUCACGCACAACUCCGAUUGCGAAGGCAGCUUACUAAGGUACAACUGACGCUGAAGCACGAAAGCGGGGGUAUCAAACAGGAUUAGAUACCCUGGUAGUCCACGCAGUAAACGAUGAUAACUGGGCGUAUGCGAUAUACAGUAUGCUCCUAAGCGAAAGCGUUAAGUUAUCCACCUGGGGAGUACGCCGGGCAACGGUGAAACUCAAAGGAAUUGACGGGGGCCCGCACAAGCGGAGGAACAUGUGGUUUAAUUCGAUGAUACGCGAGGAACCUUACCCGGGAUUGAAAUGUACAUGACCGCUCCUGAAAGGGAGUUUUCCUUCGGGACAUCUAUGUAGGUGCUGCAUGGUUGUCGUCCGCUCGUGCCGUGAGGUGUCGGCUUAAGUGCCAUAACGAGCGCAACCCCUGUCUACGGUUGCCAUCAGGUGAUGCUGGGAACUCCGUAGAGACUGCCGUCGUAAGGCGUGAGGAAGGUGGGGAUGACGUCAAAUCAUCACGGCCCUUACAUCCGGGGCGACACACGUGUUACAAUGGUAAGGACAAAGGGCAGCUACCUGGCGACAGGAUGCGAAUCUCUAAACCUUAUCACAGUUCGGAUCGGAGUCUGCAACUUGACUCCGUGAAGCUGGAUUCGCUAGUAAUCGCGCAUCAUCCAUGGCGCGGUGAAUACGUUCCCGGGCCU
This 1362-nucleotide ribosomal RNA is filed under the name uncultured bacterium. Its description in RNAcentral is "bacterial SSU rRNA". It matches the Rfam family "Bacterial small subunit ribosomal RNA", at positions 28 to 1381 of the family's 1533-position model. The record is from RNAcentral.